CUGGGGUGGCCAUUCAGGUCUAAUUGAAAAGUCCUAGACAAGGUCUAGCAUGUACUCAUUUAACAAUCUCUUAUUUGGCAUUUAUGAAGUUGAACCAUGUAAAAUGGCUGAUAUCUGCACAUCUUUGACCUACCCAAGUGGAAAUAGCACAUGGCUCGACCUGAUACUAUAUGCAAGCUACUGUCCUUGGUUUUGUAGAUAUAAAGAGAGAUAAGACACAGCCAAUCCUCAAGGGACUGCUGGGAGACAAUCCCAUAGGGAAUUAGGGGCAAGUUUGGGGUAUAUUUAGAGCUAUGAGAAAGAGAAAGAGGAAAGAGGGGAUAUCGAGGCAGUGUCCUGAAGUAGGAACUUGCUUCUUUCAUCUGUGGGAGUCUAGAUCUGACCGAACACAGCAUGGAGCCCCUCUUCUUGCUGUCUCAGCAUCUGUGGAAUGACCAGCAAACCCAGAAUCUCAAAGCCAGUUUCAGAGCAGGCCACUGUUUAGGAGUCUCGGUCUCAGCAGUCAAAUAUAAUUCCUAACUGAUGCAAGAGGAACAUCGAUCCUCACUCUCAAGGCAUUUGUAGUUUUACUGACAAGACAAGAUAAAGACCUGCCAGACUGGGUCUCUGGGCCUAUUGAAUUCUCUCCGCCUCUGGCCGGUAGGAUGUCACGCCCCAGGCCCCAGCCUCAACCUGCCCACACUGAUCUGGAGGUACCCAAGAACAUCUGACCCCGAUCGCAUUCAUGUGACACCUUUGUUCAAGCGCUAAAUUCACUUGAGAGAAGAAAAAAAAAACACACCCCAACCAGGAAAUACAUCUUUUACAGCUAUUUCACGUGGCGCUGGAAUCUCGCUUUAAAGAACAUUCUUGUGGCAUUUCCAGUUCUUUUCCUUUCAGGACUGCAAACAGGACUAGCCCGUCCAAAGGGAAACUACUCCCCAGCAGAGCCGUUCUUCAAAGGGGACUUCUUCGGGCAGGAAAAGGGAACGUCUGAUACGGGGGCUGAAUAAACAGACUCUCGGAGCUGAGAGCCAGAUUGGAAAACCAGGCCCUGUGACCCACGGUGCAGCCGCCGGCCACGGGCCACGUGUGCACUGUGUCCCUGUCCUCCCUGCCCCUCUGUCUCUCUCUCUCUCUCUUUUGCUUCCAUUCUGUCUCUUCAUCACCAACUGCCUACGUGUUCCUAGGUAUAUAAAUAACCAUUGUUUGUAUUAUUACCUGAAUAACUUAAUAGGCUCCAAAGUUUCCAAAGCCCACUUUUUUUUGUCUUUUCAUUUUUUAUUUAACUUCAUAAUUUUACGGGUAUACAUGGGUUUUGGUGACAUAAUUUGCUUUUGUAUAGUUUGAGUCGAAGUUGUAAGUGUGCCCUUCAGCCAGGUAGUGUGCAUUGUAC
Microcebus murinus (gray mouse lemur) is the source of this 1375-nucleotide non-coding RNA. The record is from RefSeq and is a predicted model, not a curated record. Lineage: Eukaryota; Metazoa; Chordata; Mammalia; Primates; Cheirogaleidae.